CACGUAGGCGGCUAGGUCCGUCCGAUGUGAAAGCCCCCAGCUCAACCGGGGAAUUGCAUCGGAUACAGCCUGGCUCGAGGACGGUUGGGGUGAGUGGAACUCCUGGUGGAGCGGUGAAAUGCGUAGAUAUCAGGAGGAACACCGGUGGCGAAAGCGGCUCACUGGACCGUUUCUGACGCUGAGGUGCGAAAGCUAGGGGAGCAAACG
This 207-nucleotide ribosomal RNA is filed under the name uncultured bacterium. RNAcentral describes it as "partial 16S ribosomal RNA". It matches the Rfam family "Bacterial small subunit ribosomal RNA", at positions 568 to 774 of the family's 1533-position model. The record is from RNAcentral.